ACGUCACGAUUAACUUUUGGACCCAGCCAAUAGAUGGCGCUAUUAUUAAGGUGUCUGGCAACAACACCGUACAACCAUCUCACAUAGUUUAGUUGAACCUUUCCUGUCUUGGGGGGAGCAUCUACCGCAGCCACAGUGUUUGUAAACAACCUCUGGUAGGAGAGCACUUGUCACCUGUGCUUAUAAUUAUGGCCAAUUACCACGUUAUUUGUGUAUGGAAAAUAAUAUAUCCAGGAGAUAAGUACUGUCGCCCCAAGUGGUCAUCAAGAGAUGCAAGAGACUCUUAUUUGAUUGAAAAUGGCCAGACUGGUGCAUGCUCUAUGGCACCUCAGUUACCCAGAGAGAUUAGAACACCUACAGCUUAUAUGGUACUUUAGGCAGGCAAGAGGUGACUUAAUUGAGGUUUAUAAACAUCUCAGAGGACAUUCUGGAACCAGUACUUGCCAUCAGUGUGUAACAGAGAUGUGACUGCCGGCCCAAGCGAAGAGGAUAAAAGUAAAAGUUAAGAACAAGACUUUACAAAAUUGAACUACACCAUUACAGCUGAAAAUGACCUCUACUACCACCACCACCACCACAGCAUCACCAUGGCACCACUACCACCACAACACCACUACCACCACCACUAUUACCUAUGGCAAGGUGAAUUAGAGACUAAACCUUAACUAACAACUCGUGCAUGGAGAAACUGCAGUCACAGUGCAGGGCAAAACGGGCGGCAGGCAGGGCAGCACAGCAAAACAGGCGCCAGAGCAGGGCAGCACGGCAGUCCUCUUCAGAAUAAAACCUAUAAAAAAUAAAA
This is a long non-coding RNA of Homarus americanus (American lobster), 802 nucleotides long. RefSeq lists it as uncharacterized. NCBI's taxonomy places the organism in Eukaryota, Metazoa, Arthropoda, Malacostraca, Decapoda, Nephropidae. The record is from RefSeq and is a predicted model, not a curated record. The transcript has 4 exons.